RNAcentral lists this ribosomal RNA (453 nucleotides) under uncultured bacterium. RNAcentral describes it as "bacterial SSU rRNA". It matches the Rfam family "Bacterial small subunit ribosomal RNA", at positions 340 to 786 of the family's 1533-position model. The record is from RNAcentral.
UACGGAAGGCAGCAGUGGGGAAUAUUGCACAAUGGGCGAAAGCCUGAUGCAGCUAUGCCGCGUGUAUGAAGAAGGCCUUAGGGUUGUAAAGUACUUUCAUCGGGGAGGAAAAACAAAACUAAUAAUUUUAUUUCUUGACGUUACCCGAAAAAGAAGCACCGGCUAACUCCGUGCCAGCAGCCGCGGUAAUACGGAGGGUGCUAGCGUUAAUCAGAAUUACUGGGCGUAAAGAGCACGUAGGUGGUUUUUUUAAGUCAGAUGUGAAAUCCCUGGGCUUAACCUGGAACUGCAUUUUGAAACUGAAAUACUAGAGUAUCGUAGAGGGAGGUAGAAUUCUAGGUGUAGCGGUGAAAUGCGUAGAUAUCUGGAGGAAUACCUGUGGCGAAAGCGGCCUCCUAAACGAAUACUGACACUGAGGUGCGAAAGCGUGGGGGCAAACAGGGAUUAGAUACC